RNAcentral lists this ribosomal RNA (448 nucleotides) under uncultured bacterium. RNAcentral's name for it is "partial 16S ribosomal RNA". It matches the Rfam family "Bacterial small subunit ribosomal RNA", at positions 330 to 795 of the family's 1533-position model. The record is from RNAcentral.
GCCAGACUCCUACGGGAGGCAGUAGUGGGGGAUAUUGCACAAUGGGGGGAACCCUGAUGCAGCGACGCCGCGUGGGUGAAGAAGCGCCUCGGCGCGUAAAGCCCUGUCAGCAGGGAAGAAAAUGACGGUACCUGAAGAAGAAGCCCCGGCUAACUACGUGCCAGCAGCCGCGGUAAUACGUAGGGGGCAAGCGUUAUCCGGAUUUACUGGGUGUAAAGGGGGCGCAGACGGCGAUGCAAGCCAGGAGUGAAAGCCCGGGGCCCAACCCCGGGACUGCUCUUGGAACUGCGUGGCUGGAGUGCAGGAGGGGCAGGCGGAAUUCCUGGUGUAGCGGUGAAAUGCGUAGAUAUACGGAGGAACACCAGUGGCGAAGGCGGAUUGCUGGACAGUAACUGACGCUGAGGCGCGAAAGCGUGGGGAGCAAACAGGAUUAGAUACCCGCGUAAUA